AGUCGAACGGUAGCAGGAAGUGCUUGCACUUUGCUGACGAGUGGCGGACGGGUGAGUAAUGCUUGGGAACUUGCCUUUAGGUGGGGGAUAACAGUUGGAAACGACUGCUAAUACCGCAUAAUGUCUACGGACCAAAGGGGGCUUCGGCUCUCGCCUUGAGAGAGGCCCAAGUGAGAUUAGCUAGUUGGUGGGGUAAAGGCCUACCAAGGCAACGAUCUCUAGCUGUUCUGAGAGGAAGAUCAGCCACACUGGGACUGAGACACGGCCCGGACUUCUACGGAAGGCAGCAGUAGGGAAUAUUGGACAAUGAGCGAAAGCUUGAUCCAGCUAUGCCGCGUGUGCGAUGACGGCCCUCGGGUUGUAAAGCACUUUAGGUAACGAGGAAAAGUUAGGUGUUAAUACCACUUAACCAUGACGUUAAUUACAGAAUAAGCACCGGCUAAAUCCGUGCCAGCAGCCGCGGUAAUACGGAGGGUGCGAGCGUUAAUCGGAAUUACUGGGCGUAAAGCGCACGCAGGCGGCUUGUUAAGCUAGAGGUGAAAGCCCCGCGCUCAACGUGGGAACUGCCUUUAGAACUGGCAGGCUAGAGUCUUGGAGAGGGGAGUGGAAUUCCAGGUGUAGCGGUGAAAUGCGUAGAUAUCUGGAGGAACAUCAGUGGCGAAGGCGGCUCCCUGGCCAAAGACUGACGCUCAUGUGCGAAAGUGUGGGUAGCGAACAGGAUUAGAUACCCUGGUAGUCCACACCGUAAACGCUGUCUACUAGCUGUUUGUGUAUUUAAUACGUGAGUAGCGAAGCUAACGCGCUAAGUAGACCGCCUGGGGAGUACGGCCGCAAGGUUAAAACUCAAAUGAAUUGACGGGGGCCCGCACAAGCGGUGGAGCAUGUGAUUUAUUCGAUGCACGCGAGAUCUUACUACACUUGACAUGCUGAGAGUACUAGAGAUAGUUUCGUGCUUCGGGACUCAGACCAGGUGCUGCAUGCUGUCGUCAGCUCGUGUCGUGAGAUGUGGGUAGUCCCGCACGAGCGCACCCUUGUCCUUAGUUGCAGCUAAGUUGGGCCUCUAAGAGACUGGCGGUGACAAUCGGAGGAGAGGGGGGACGACGUCAGUCAUCAUGGGCCUACUUGUAGGUUCUCACCGGCGUCAAGGCGGUUUCUAGGGAGCCGACGGUUGUGGGAGCGAGCCUUAUUAUGUAGAUCGCGAUGGAUUUGCACUGCACCUCUGGAGUGGGGAGCCCGGUAGUCACGCUGCGAUAUCGAGGUAAGAAUUGUUCCCGACCCGCUGCUAUAC
This 1288-nucleotide ribosomal RNA is filed under the name uncultured bacterium. Its description in RNAcentral is "partial 16S ribosomal RNA". It matches the Rfam family "Bacterial small subunit ribosomal RNA", at positions 60 to 1388 of the family's 1533-position model. The record is from RNAcentral.